RNAcentral lists this ribosomal RNA (253 nucleotides) under uncultured bacterium. RNAcentral's name for it is "partial 16S ribosomal RNA". It matches the Rfam family "Bacterial small subunit ribosomal RNA", at positions 524 to 776 of the family's 1533-position model. The record is from RNAcentral.
UACGGAGGAUCCAAGCGUUAUCCGGAAUCAUUGGGUUUAAAGGGUCCGUAGGCGGUGUGGUAAGUCAGUGGUGAAAGCCCAUCGCUCAACGGUGGAACGGCCAUUGAUACUGCCAGACUUGAAUUAUUAGGAAGUAACUAGAAUAUGUAGUGUAGCGGUGAAAUGCUUAGAGAUUACAUGGAAUACCAAUUGCGAAGGCAGGUUACUACUAAUGGAUUGACGCUGAUGGACGAAAGCGUGGGUAGCGAACAGG